Long non-coding RNA from Photinus pyralis (common eastern firefly), 339 nucleotides. RefSeq lists it as uncharacterized. NCBI's taxonomy places the organism in Eukaryota, Metazoa, Arthropoda, Insecta, Coleoptera, Lampyridae. The record is from RefSeq and is a predicted model, not a curated record. The transcript is spliced from 3 exons.
AGUGGCAGAGUAGGGACAGUUGCAAUCAAUUCAAGCACUUAAAAAGGACAAGCGCUUGAUGGUCGUGAAGUAGUGUGCAAUUGCAGUUUCUGUGACUCAGAGAAGAGCAAAGCUAUUGCCGAAUAAAGGAUCAUCGGUAGAUGUGAAUAACAAUAUCAGCAAGCCCUUUGUAUAAGCACCUUUCAAUAUGGCAAAGACCUGCAUCAUCGCUGCUGUAUUGGUUUUCGCCUUUCUUACAUAUGGCAUCAUACAAAUCAUCAUCAAGCUGUCAACAAACGACAAGGAAAAGGAAGAGGAAUCACUAAUCCACAUGUCCAGCUUAAAUCCACGUAAGAUUUC